This 21-nucleotide microRNA is filed under the name Macaca mulatta (Rhesus monkey). RNAcentral's name for it is "mml-miR-7204-3p". Lineage: Eukaryota; Metazoa; Chordata; Mammalia; Primates; Cercopithecidae. The record is from miRBase by way of RNAcentral.
CGAUAACACCCAAGUCCGAAU